This is an RNA transcript of Trichechus manatus latirostris (Florida manatee), 3704 nucleotides long. It is a transcript of the gene named Bardet-Biedl syndrome 2, with no coding region annotated. The transcript has 16 exons. The record is from RefSeq and is a predicted model, not a curated record. Lineage: Eukaryota; Metazoa; Chordata; Mammalia; Sirenia; Trichechidae.
ACUUCGGGUCUCCAGCCCUCCUCCCCUCGGUCUCUGCCAUCAUGCUACUGCCCGUGUUCACUCUGAAACUGCGCCACAAAAUCAUCCCUCGCAUGGUGGCCAUAGGGCGCUACGACGGGACCCACCCGUGCCUGGCGGCCGCCACCCAAGCGGACAAGGUUUUUAUUCACAACCCUCAUACACGGAGCCAGCACUUCAGCGCAUCCAGAGUCAUCCAGAGCCCCCUGGAGUCCGAUGUCUCUCUUCUGAACAUUAACCAGGCAGUCAGCUGCCUGACCGCAGGAGUAUUGAACCCUCAGCUUGGCUAUGAUGCUCUUUUAGUAGGGACACAGACUAAUCUCUUGGCUUAUGAUGUCUACAAUAAUUCAGAUUUGUUCUAUAGAGAGGUAGCAGAUGGGGCAAAUGCAGUUGUGUUGGGGACGUUGGGAGACAUUUCCUCUCCCCUUGCGAUUAUUGGUGGAAAUUGUGCCCUGCAGGGUUUUGAUCAUGAAGGAAAUGAUCUCUUUUGGACGGUUACUGGAGAUAAUGUUCAUUCCUUGGCCUUGUGCGACUUUGACGGUGAUGGGAAGAAAGAGCUUCUUGUUGGAUCUGAGGAUUUUGAUAUCAGAGUUUUUAAGGAAGAUGAGAUUGUGGCAGAAAUGACAGAAACAGAGAUAAUCACCUCUCUUUGUCCCAUGUAUGGCAAUCGAUUUGGUUAUGCCCUUUCUAAUGGCACAGUUGGAGUUUAUGACAAAAUGGCCCGAUACUGGAGAAUUAAAUCCAAAAAUCAUGCCAUGAGCAUUCAUGCUUUUGACCUGAAUUCUGAUGGAGUGCCUGAACUGAUAACUGGUUGGUCCAAUGGGAAGGUCGAUGCUCGAAGUGACCGAACUGGGGAGGUCAUCUUUAAAGACAACUUCUCUUCUGCAAUUGCUGGUGUGGUUGAGGGCGAUUACCGGAUGGAUGGCCACAUACAGCUGAUCUGCUGUUCAGUGGACGGAGAAAUCCGGGGCUACCUGCCAGGCACUGCUGAGAUGCGGGGGAACCUCAUGGACACAAGCGUGGAGCAGGACCUAAUCCGGGAGCUCAGCCAGAAAAAACAGAAUCUGUUGCUGGAGCUCCGUAACUAUGAGGAAAACACCAAGGCUGAAUCGAGCAGUCCACUGAGUGAGGCUGAUGGGCAUCGGGGCAUUAUCCCAGCCAAUACCAAGCUCCACACCGCCCUCUCAGUUAAUCUGGGGAGUGAGACUCAGGCUGCUCACGCAGAAUUGUGCAUUUCCACUUCUAAUGACACCAUCAUCCGAGCAGUGCUGAUUUUUGCAGAGGGAAUUUUUAUAGGUGAAAGCCACGUGGUACACCCCAGCAUUCACAACGUCUCCAACUCCAUCUGCAUCCCAAUUACACCUCCCAAAGAUGUCCCUGUGGAUCUGCACUUGAAAACCUUCGUGGGUUACAGGAGCAGCACCCAGUUUCAUGUAUUUGAAUUGACAAGACAGCUCCCUCGGUUCUCCAUGUAUGCUCUAACCAGCCCAGACUCUGCCAGCGAGCCACUCAGUUAUGUUAACUUUGUCAUUGCCGAACGGGCGCAGAGGGUUGUAAUAUGGCUCAACCAGAACUUUCUGUUACCAGAAGACACUAACAUUCAGAAUGCUCCAUUUCAAGUGUGUUUCACAUCCUUACGGAAUGGUGGCCAGCUGUAUAUAAAAAUAAAACCUAGUGGAGAGAUUACUGUAAAUACAGAUGAUAUUGAUUUGGCUGGUGAUAUCAUCCAGUCAAUGGCAUCAUUUUUUGCUAUUGAAGACCUUCAGGUAGAAGCGGAUUUCCCUGCCUACUUUGAGGAAUUACGAAAGGUGCUGAUUAAGGAAAACGAUGAAGAAUCGCUAUAUGGAACUAUAUGACCUUAAUAAGGAUUUGCUAAAUGGAUAUAAAAUUCGCUGUAACAAUCACACAGAGCUAUUGGGAAACCUAAAAGCAGUAAAUCAAGCGAUUCAAAGAGCAGGCCGUCUGCGUGUUGGAAAACCGAAGAACCAGGUGAUCUCUGCUUGUCGGGAUGCAAUUCGAAGCAACAACAUCAACACGUUGUUUAGAAUCAUGCGAGUUGGGACAGCGUCUUCAUAGGAGAGGACAGGAGAGGAACUGAAGUCCCUGGAACCUGUUUUUUCCUAAAAAUCUAGGUUGGUUUGCUUUGGACCACAUCCUGGUGAGCCCAGGGUGCUGAGAGUCAAACAACCUUGGUGAGUUGUACAAAUGAAAGACAAAGCAUUGCCCCUGAAAAAGGUCUUCACUUUGUAUUUUUAAAUCAGCAGGCCCAUUGCAGAAUACUAGGCUCGUAUGGAGGAGGGCAAAGAUCUUUGAAGCUUUAGGGCUUCAAAGUCCAAGUUUUCUUUAUGUAUGUAAAGUCAGUGUAUAGAUACAUCUUUUUAUACUUGAAAUUGUAAUUUUAAAAUAGAUUAUCUACUUUUUCAUUAAAAUUUAAAGGUGUCUAACUUUGUGUUGACUGAUGAUAAAAUUCCCUACUAUAUCAGAAUUGCAUAAACCAUUUGUAUUUUGUGGAGAAAAAAGCAUGGAUAAUCAAUUUCUCUGCAUUCUUUUUAAUCACCGGAAGUUGAGUGUAAGCAACAAAUUUGUAUCAAAGGAGUCAGUUUAGGGUGAUCUAUUAGUUGGGGUAAUACUAGCUGCUGUAACAAAUAGACCUCCAAAUUCAUGACUCGUUUAUUUCUAGUUUAUGUGAGGAUUCCUUCAUAGUUAAUCAGGGACCCACGUUCCUUUAAUCAUGUAGUUGCAUCCUCUCCUAGGGCAAUCAUUCUCAACUGGGUUCUUUUAUUUCUAAUAAGCCUAAAGAAAAUGAUUUUCACAUUUGUUGCAUACAAUGGCUGUUAGGGCAUUAGGGCGUAAUUCUCACUGGAAACCCUAUCUGAGAAGAGUGUCUUAGGGCUUUGUGGUCGUUUACAUCUAGCCAGUAGAAAAAGAAAAGAGAGCAGGGAAGAAACAUCUUUAAAAGCCUGGAAAUAGCACAUCUCCACUCAAAUUCCAUUGGCUAACAUGGCUGCACCUUACUGCAACAGAGGCCAGGAAAUGUAAUCCAGCUGUGUGCCUAAGAGGAGAAAGCUCACAUUUGUGUCAACAGCUGGUAGUCCCUUCCCAAGGAGUUAAAAUCUACCUGAAGGGAGAUUUCAGGACAGGUUUAAUGACUAAGACAUUAGUCAGUUUCCACAUCUUAAUAGCAUUUGUAAGCAGUUGGGGUGAGUGGGAAGGGCUGACUUUGCCCCUUAAGUUAGCGUAAAUUAAUCGUACUAGUCUCCUCCUUUUGGCCAGGUAGGGUUACCCUCCUUUAUUUCUGAAACAUGAGCUUUAUGGAGUCCCAAUUUUUACAAGAAGAUGCACUGUAGUACCUUUGUUAUGCAUUUUCAGUCUAUAAGCUGAAUAGACAUCCACCUUUACUGUAUAAUUUUCCGUGAUGCCCAAAGUUGUAAAGUAUCAUUACAUCUGCUUCUGAGAUAAAGAAACUGAGGUGCAGAGAUUAACUACUUGGCAGGGCUCGACUCCCACUGUUGAGUCUUCUGUUUUAACCAGUCUACACUAUACCUUUGGAAGUUAAAAUCUCCAGUUGCUGCUAGUUUUAAAAUGUAUGGCACCAUUCAUUUUUAGGGACCCUAAUCAUCUCAUCAAAGGUCAUUCUUGCUGGUCUUUAGCCAAAACUUCUUUCUUAGGCCUAAAAAUAUUUAUGG